AGAGUUUGAUCCUGGCUCAGAACAAACGCUGGCGGCGUGCCUAACACAUGCAAGUCGUACGAGAAAGGGUCUUUCGGGAUCUGAGUAAAGUGGCGCACGGGUGAGUAACGCGUGGAUAAUCUGCCCUUCAGUUGGGAAUAACUCAUCGAAAGGUGGGCUAAUACCGAAUAAUGCUGUGAGACCUCGGUCGAUCAGCCAAAGAGAGCCUCUGCUUGCAUGCCCUUGCUGAAGGAUGAGUCCGCGUACCAUUAGCUAGUUGGUAGGGUAAUGGCCUACCAAGGCGACGAUGGUUAGCUGGUCUGAGAGGAUGAUCAGCCACACUGGAACUGAGACACGGUCCAGACUCCUACGGGAGGCAGCAGUGAGGAAUCUUGCGCAAUGGGGGAAACCCUGACGCAGCAACGCCGCGUGAGUGAGGAAGGUCUUCGGAUCGUAAAGCUCUGUCGGAUGGAAAGAACCGCAUAGGAGUAAAUAGCGCCUAUGUCUGACGGUACCAUCAAAGGAAGCACCGGCUAACUCCGUGCCAGCAGCCGCGGUAAUACGGGGGGUGCAAGCGUUGUUCGGAAUUAUUGGGCGUAAAGAGCGUGUAGGCGGCCUGAUGUGUCAGAUGUGAAAGCCCUGGGCUUAACCCAGGAAGUGCAUUUGAAACUGUCAGGCUUGAGUAGGGGAGAGGGAAGUGGAAUUCCUGGUGUAGAGGUGAAAUUCGUAGAUAUCAGGAGGAACACCGGUGGCGAAGGCGACUUCCUGGCCCUAUACUGACGCUGAGACGCGAGAGCGUGGGUAGCAAACAGGAUUAGAUACCCUGGUAGUCCACGCCGUAAACGAUGUUCACUAGGUGUUGGGGGUAUUGACCCCCUCAGUGCCGGAGCUAACGCAUUAAGUGAACCGCCUGGGGAGUACGGUCGCAAGACUAAAACUCAAAGGAAUUGACGG
This 933-nucleotide ribosomal RNA is filed under the name uncultured bacterium. Its description in RNAcentral is "bacterial SSU rRNA". It matches the Rfam family "Bacterial small subunit ribosomal RNA", at positions 8 to 916 of the family's 1533-position model. The record is from RNAcentral.